Long non-coding RNA from Grammomys surdaster, 1110 nucleotides. RefSeq lists it as uncharacterized. The record is from RefSeq and is a predicted model, not a curated record. The transcript is spliced from 3 exons. Lineage: Eukaryota; Metazoa; Chordata; Mammalia; Rodentia; Muridae.
CGUGGCCUGUCGUCCUGACAACCGUGAGCGUUCGUGCUCUGCGGAGUUCACUUUUCCCCAGGCAAAGGUCCUGCUUCUCUCAUGGGUCCCAAGUCAAAAAAGACUCCCGGUAAGAAAAAGAUGACCAAAGCUGAGCGACUGCGGCUGCUGCAGGAGGAGGAGGAGAGACGCCUGAAGGAGGAAGGUACUGAGUGCCCGGAUGUCCGGCCGGAUCCCAUAGCACAGAGCAUUAGCCAUGGGUUCAUGCCCCCAUGACCACUCGGCAUUUUCAACAGGUUUUAAUUUUAUCAAGGAUUCCUACUACUCACAGCGUAGACCAUCAGUGCACACAGCCAUAUCUGGGUGUGCACUGAAGUCUUGCUGCCAGAUAAGAGUUCAGAGAAGCUCAUACAGUUUCGCUGAUCUUUUCAUCUUUUGCACCGCACAAUAUUUGGGCCGUAUUUAAUGGCCCAAAGUUUUUAAGCCAAAAAAAAAAUCAUUGCUUCUCAGAAAUUCAAAUUCAGGCGAUCAGCCCAUGUUUUUGUCUGCUGAUUUUGUCUGACCUGCCUUAAAGUGUUUAUGAUCUGAUGAUGAAAAACGGGCACAUUGGUGCCGACUGUGUGGUAAGAAUCCUGGACCUAAAAUUUAUUAGCGAUGAGAAGUACACACUAGCAAAAGCUGCAUACAACAGCCGAACUUGUUUUUUUCAACCCUGAGGGUUUUAAAAAAGAUCUAUGCUGUUUAUUUUUGGUUAUGUGUGUAUGUGUGUCUGAACAUGAGUAUGCCCAAGUGAAUUCAGAUGCUCAUGGUGGCCAGAGGUGUUGGAUUCCUCUGGAUCUGGGUACAGGAAGUUGUGAACCACAUGAUAUGGGUGUUAAGAACUAAAUUUGGAUGGGUCCUCUGCAAGAACAGUGCAUGCUUUUAACUUCCUGAGCCCAGUUUCUCAAUGUUUAACAAUAUCUCUUUGCUAGUUAAACUAGAAAUCCCAUUCAUUGAUAUUAAACAAUGAUAAAAAAAUUGGCAAAUUAUUAGAAAGUGCUUUUUAAAGACUGUAUGACCCUGGAGGUUACAGCUAUUAGAACUCAGUUUCUAUAGAUUUAUAUUCAGGAUUUUUAAGGAUUCCUUUGGCUU